Molecule: transfer-messenger RNA, 339 nt
Filed under: Gammaproteobacteria bacterium
Lineage: Bacteria; Pseudomonadati; Pseudomonadota; Gammaproteobacteria
Description: partial transfer-messenger RNA
Rfam family: transfer-messenger RNA
About the family: Bacterial tmRNA, also known as 10Sa RNA or SsrA, is named for its dual tRNA and mRNA-like properties.
Source: RNAcentral
GAGGUGCAGGAUACCUCGUAAAUCCAUCUGCAAACUUAUAGUUGCCAACGACGACAACUACGCACUCGCAGCUUAAACCCCUGUAGGGUGCCGUCUGACUGGAGCCGUGCAUGUGCGUCCAGAGUUUCCGGUUUUCGAACUGGUAACACUCAGGCGUCGACUCUCACAUGAUCGCGAUGAAGCACGUACGGGGUGGAUUCGCUAAAACUUAACCGUAAUCGCUGGUUAUCUUCCCUGCCCGUCGGGUAGUGGCCAGUUAAAUUAAUAGACGUGGAUAAGCAUGUAGAGCCGAUGGCAGAGGACUUGCGGACGGCGGUUCGAUUCCGCCCGCCUCCACCA